UAGUACCUGCGCAGGAUAAACGACUGGCGGACGCGACAUAAGGACAUGCAAAGUGAACGAACUUAACUACAUCUUUUAGUAUUGAGAGCGGUUAGUGGCGGACUGGUGAGUAACACGUAAGCAACCUAGCCUAUCAGAGGGGAAGUAACAGUGAGAAAUCAUUGCUAAUACCGCAUAAGCUAGUAGUAUCACAUGAUACAGCUAGAAAGGAGUAAUCCGCUGAUAGAUGGGCUUGCGCCUGAUUAGCUAGUUGGUGGGGUAACGGCCUACCAAGGCGACGAUCAGUAGCCGAACUGAGAGGUUGAACGGCCACAUUGGGACUGAGAUACGGUCCAGACUCCUACGGGAGGCAGCAGUCGGGAAUAUUGCGCAAUGGAGGAAACUCUGACGCAGUGACGCCGCGUAUAGGAAGAAGGUUUUCGGAUUGUAAACUAUUGUCGUGAGGGAAGAAGAUGACAGUACCUCAGGAGGAAGCUCCGGCUAACUAUGUG
Molecule: ribosomal RNA, 491 nt
Filed under: uncultured Eubacteriales bacterium
Lineage: Bacteria; Bacillati; Bacillota; Clostridia; Eubacteriales
Description: bacterial SSU rRNA
Rfam family: Bacterial small subunit ribosomal RNA
Source: RNAcentral